AGCGAACGCUGGCGGCAGGCCUAACACAUGCAAGUAGAACGGUCCUUUCGGAGCUUGUGGCGGACGGGUGGGUACCACGUGGGAACGUGCCCUUAGGUUAGGAAUAUCUCCUGGAAACGGGUGGUAAUGCAGAAUGUGCUCUUCGGGCGAAAGAUUUUACGCUUUUGGAGCUGCCCGCGUAUGAUUAGAUAGUUGGUCUAGGUAACGGCUCACCAAGGCAUCGGUCAGUAGCUGGUCUGAGAGGAUGGCCAGCCACCUUGGGACUGAGAAACGGCGCAAAUCUCUACGGGAGGCAGCAGUGGGGAAUCUUGCGCAAUGGGCGAGAGCCUGACGCUGCCAUGCCGCGUGAAUGUGGAAUGUCUUAGGAUUGUAAAAGUCUUUCACCAGGGACGAUAAUGACGGUACCCGGAGAAGAAGCCCCGGCUAACUACGUG
Molecule: ribosomal RNA, 434 nt
Filed under: uncultured bacterium
Lineage: Bacteria
Description: partial 16S ribosomal RNA
Rfam family: Bacterial small subunit ribosomal RNA
Source: RNAcentral